Molecule: long non-coding RNA, 280 nt
Filed under: Rattus norvegicus (Norway rat)
Lineage: Eukaryota; Metazoa; Chordata; Mammalia; Rodentia; Muridae
Description: long non-coding RNA NONRATT003211
Source: RNAcentral
ACAGGGUCAGCCCACUGUUCCUUUGCACGACACUGUCCUAAAAGCAGAUCAGCGUCAUGGGUGCCAUGUGUGUGGGAAGAGUUUUACCCGACAGUCCAAACUGGUGGAGCACCUGUACACUCACACAGGACGACAUCCUAUCACAGCAAAGCCUUGUUCCACACCAUUAGGAGACAUGUUGUAUGACUACUGGGACAACUCACAGUGAUCUUGUAACCCUGGGCCAACCCCCUCCCACUCUGGUGGUGCAGUUGGUUGGGGAUUAAAACUUUCUUUAAAA